Cydia strobilella is the source of this 1565-nucleotide long non-coding RNA. RefSeq lists it as uncharacterized. The transcript is spliced from 2 exons. Lineage: Eukaryota; Metazoa; Arthropoda; Insecta; Lepidoptera; Tortricidae. The record is from RefSeq and is a predicted model, not a curated record.
AUCGCCUGUCACCAUGCCUGUCACGUUCUAACAAGUAUGUAAGUGCGAAAGCGACAGGCAUAGUGACAGGUGAUAAAAAUGCAACCACGCUGACACCGCUGUAGGGCUAAGAUGGUCGGCUCUUUAUCAUUUGUCACCAUGCCUGUCACGUUCUAACAAAUAUGUAAGUGCGAAAGUGACGCCUGGCAUGACAGGUGAUAAAAAUGCGACCAUGAUACCGCUGCAGGACUCAUAACAAAUGCCAGUAGGAAAGCCGAUUAUGACUUGGGUGAAAUAAACACGUUAUUUUCAAUAUUUGCCAGAGGCCUCCGCCACUGGUGGGCUUGCUUGCUUUUUCUUUAGACAUAUAUAUAUGAAAUCUACUUCAGUUUAUGAUUUUUAUGUGGUAGUGUGAGAGUUAAAAAGCACAAAGCAAAAUGUCGAAUACAUCAAAUUUGAUAUGUUCCCAAAGUUGUAUAGACGGCAGCACUAUCUCGCUAUAUCGUAAUCCCGUAAGGGUUUCGUACUGCAAGUACGUACUGCUUGCCCUUAUGUCUCGGCCACACUGACGCCGUUGAUUGUCGCGAUAAUUCCAGUGUGGCCGAAAAGUGUCCAUUAUCGCGAUAUUCAACGGCGUUUCCUGUUAGUGUGACCCCGGACUUAGAGUAGCUCAAAGACGCCAUGACUAUGGUUACUCUGUGGUUCAGGUACACGAACUAAAAAAUUAUAAUAUAUAUAUUUAGUAUAGGAGUUGAACACCAACUAAAGUUAUAAAAAUUUUUGUAGUUAGGAUUAAGUAAUAUUUCUUUUUCGUGACGUUUCUUAUAUUUUAAAGAUGUUUUAAAGAGGGUUUUUAUUCUUUCCUUUCUUGGUGUGUACCUGUAUAUUAAUAUGUCAAACAGAUUUUAACAUAUAAAGGACAAAAGUUGUCUUUUAUAUUUUCGAAAGUUAGCCUUAUUUUGGUAGUCGUACAGUCACGUCAGUGCCAAAAAUAUGUAUUCAUUGUCCAUAUAUUGAUGUAGUAUUUUUGGCACUUUGUCCGUAUCGAUAUUUUUAGACGUGACUGUACCGUAGACAAAACUGACGUGUUUUGGCCUGUAAUGUUCUUAAUUUUUAAGACAGACAGACAUUAGAAUGUCCUUUUCAUUUUAGGUCAAAAGAAAUCAUACAUUAUUGACAUUUUAUUUACUUGACUAUUAUGUUUAAUACAAAAUAUGUGGGCGUUACGCGAUAUAAUGACUAGUUGUUGUCAACCUUAACCUCAUUAUACAGUCACAUAUGUCAUCACAUGUACAUAGCAUGUAGUUGCAUUAGUUAGUUAAUCAUAGUUUUUUAAUGAAUUACAUUCUUAUUCGUAAGUGUCGGUAAUUUUCAAUUUUAGUCAUAGCCUUAUUUUGCAUCGGAAUUUAAACCUUGUUCACUAGAGUAUAUGAUACAAAUUAAGACAAUAUCGGAUAUGACUAAAUUUGGAAUUUGCCCGACAUUUUCAAUUCAGACAGCAAUAAUUCGAUAUCACAAUUUUUAAUUCUUAAUGAUUAAGCGUUGUUUUCAUAAAAUUGUACAAAAUAAAUCAAAAUUAUUACAAA